UGGAAGACUUGUGAUUUUGUUGUC
RNAcentral lists this non-coding RNA (24 nucleotides) under Eisenia fetida (common brandling worm). Lineage: Eukaryota; Metazoa; Annelida; Clitellata; Crassiclitellata; Lumbricidae. RNAcentral also lists the same sequence under 1 other name. The record is from RNAcentral.